UACUCGUAUAACCAGAGAACAUAAAAAAUAAAACAAUGUAUAACCGGUUCCGCAAAUUUGGUGUUCUUUCAAUUUUUGUUGUUUUUUGUUUUAAUUUUUUGUUAUUUGCACGAGGGCUGCGCUUUAUUAUAAUUAUUAUUAUGGCAUAUUAUUUUAUUUGUUGGUGUUGCUUCUGCGUUCUUCUAAGCCAUGUCUCGGUGUUUGAAGUAUUGAGGCAGCUAAAGGCAAUUAAUAGGAAAUGUUCCUUUAUUGCAACCCCUUUCUCGACUCUCGACCAGAGAGUUAUAAGACUCGACAGAACCGAUAAACCAUAUCGGCAGGUGUUGAUUCUCCUGAAUAACGAGUCCUCUUACCAAUAUUUUGCUUCGCCUUGGAAGGGACAGGCCCGAUGCCGUCCUAAUCUAAGGGCCGUGGAGGAGUCACAAGCUGCUGGUGACCAACAGUACAGCAACGAGGACGUUGUAAGUGCUAGACACGUGGGCGAAGCCAGCGAACUUUGACUUAUCUCGGCCUAUAUGCCACACAAUUACAAGCAGAGCCACCUCUAGUGAUGCUAAAGAAAAUUCUGGCGGAGGCCAGACGAAAGAAAGCCAGUUUCAUUAUUUUUUCAGACGUGAACUCAAGGCACACUCUCUGGGGAAGCUCGGACAUA
Molecule: long non-coding RNA, 652 nt
Organism: Bactrocera neohumeralis
Lineage: Eukaryota; Metazoa; Arthropoda; Insecta; Diptera; Tephritidae
Exons: 3
Source: RefSeq, a predicted model, not a curated record